AGGUACUUGACGAAGUAUUUGGACGGUUAAUUGGCGGAUUGGCCGCUUUGUUCUUGGUUGAAGACGCAGCGGGAAUUCGAGGGGUUAAUCCUGCAGGUCAGGAAAAUCGUGGCUGAAGCUGAGGUAGCUUGUUGGCAGCAGAACGGGUAGGAAGAAAAUUUUGUUGGCUUUGCCAGUGUAUGACUUCCGCUAUGUAGUAAGCUCUGAGGAGCAUUUACGUUUUAUUUUGUGAUGACAAUUUAAUUCGUAAAUUUGUGUAAUAUAUAACUCUGUGGAGCGAGUGUAUAUUAACUUGGAUUGGUUCAGGGCAUCAGUAUAUACUUGUUUUAAGGGAAAGAUGUUCCAGGUAUUUGUAUUGAUGACUGAACGUUCACGCAUGUAUAAUUAUGGGAUUAUAUA
Molecule: long non-coding RNA, 399 nt
Organism: Rosa rugosa (rugosa rose)
Lineage: Eukaryota; Viridiplantae; Streptophyta; Magnoliopsida; Rosales; Rosaceae
Exons: 2
Source: RefSeq, a predicted model, not a curated record